GAUGAACGCUGGCGGCGUGCCUAAUACAUGCAAGUCGAGCGAAUGGAUUAAGAGCUUGCUCUUAUGAAGUUAGCGGCGGACGGGUGAGUAACACGUGGGUAACCUGCCCAUAAGACCGGGAUAACUCCGGGAAACCGGGACUAAUACCGGAUAAUAUUUUGAACUGCAUGGUUCAAAAUUGAAAGGCGGCUUCGGCUGUCACUUAUGGAUGGACCCGCGCCGCAUUAGCUAGUUGGUGAGGUAACGGCUCACCAAGGCAACGAUGCGUAGCCGACCUGAGAGGGUGAUCGGCCACACUGGGACUGAGACACGGCCCAGACUCCUACGGGAGGCAGCAGUAGGGAAUCUUCCGCAAUGGACGAAAGUCUGACGGAGCAACGCCGCGUGAGUGAUGAAGGCUUUCGGGUCGUAAAACUCUGUUGUUAGGGAAGAACAAGUGCUAGUUGAAUAAGCUGGCACCUUGACGGUGCCUAACCAGAAAGCCACGGCUAACUACGUGCCAGCCGCCGCGGUAA
This 515-nucleotide ribosomal RNA is filed under the name uncultured bacterium. Its description in RNAcentral is "partial 16S ribosomal RNA". It matches the Rfam family "Bacterial small subunit ribosomal RNA", at positions 28 to 523 of the family's 1533-position model. The record is from RNAcentral.